UCACCGGGGCGACAGCAAUAUGAAGGUCAGGCUGAAGACCUUACCCGAUUUAGCUGAGAGGUGGUGCAUGGCCGUCGUCAGUUCGUACUGUGAAGCAUCCUGUUAAGUCAGGCACGAGCGAGACCCACGUCCACAGUUGCCAGCAUACCCUCCGGGGUGAUGGGUACACUGUGGAGACCGCCGCUGCUAAAGCGGAGGAAGGAGUGGGCAACGGUAGGUCAGUAUGCCCCGAAUCUCCCGGGCUACACGCGGGCUACAAUGGUUGGUACAAUGGGCAUCUACCCCGAAAGGGGAAGGAAAUCUCUUAAAGCCAAUCGUAGUUCGGAUUGAGGGCUGCAACUCGCCCUCAUGAAGCUGGAAUCCGUAGUAAUCGCGUUUCAACAGAACGCGGUGAAUACGUCCCUGCUCCUU
This 411-nucleotide ribosomal RNA is filed under the name uncultured Methanosaeta sp. RNAcentral's name for it is "bacterial SSU rRNA". It matches the Rfam family "Archaeal small subunit ribosomal RNA", at positions 927 to 1338 of the family's 1478-position model. The record is from RNAcentral. Lineage: Archaea; Methanobacteriati; Methanobacteriota; Methanomicrobia; Methanotrichales; Methanotrichaceae.